Molecule: ribosomal RNA, 598 nt
Filed under: Wickerhamomyces myanmarensis
Lineage: Eukaryota; Fungi; Ascomycota; Saccharomycetes; Phaffomycetales; Wickerhamomycetaceae
Description: [Pichia] myanmarensis partial large subunit ribosomal RNA
Rfam family: Eukaryotic large subunit ribosomal RNA
Source: RNAcentral
GGAAAAGAAACCAACAGGGAUUGCCUCAGUAACGGCGAGUGAAGCGGCAAAAGCUCAAAUUUGAAAUCUAGCACCUUCGGUGUUCGAGUUGUAAUUUGAAGAUGGUAACCUUGGGUUUGGCUCUUGUCUAUGUUCCUUGGAACAGGACGUCAUAGAGGGUGAGAAUCCCGUCUGAUGAGAUGCCCAUUCCUAUGUAAGGUGCUAUCGAAGAGUCGAGUUGUUUGGGAAUGCAGCUCUAAGUGGGUGGUAAAUUCCAUCUAAAGCUAAAUAUUGGCGAGAGACCGAUAGCGAACAAGUACAGUGAUGGAAAGAUGAAAAGAACUUUGAAAAGAGAGUGAAAAAGUACGUGAAAUUGUUGAAAGGGAAGGGCAUUAGAUCAGACUUGGUGUUUUACGAUUAUCUUCUCUUCUUGAGUUGUGCACUCGUAUUUCACUGGGCCAGCAUCGAUUCGGAUGGCAAGAUAAUAGCAGUUGAAUGUGGCUUCACUUCGGUGGAGUGUUAUAGCUUCUGUUGAUAUUGCCUGUCUGGAUCGAGGGCUGCGUCUUUUGACUAGGAUGCUGGCGUAAUGAUCUAAUGCCGCCCGUCUUGAAACACGGAC